Molecule: transfer RNA, 359 nt
Filed under: uncultured Microcystis sp.
Lineage: Bacteria; Bacillati; Cyanobacteriota; Cyanophyceae; Chroococcales; Microcystaceae
Description: partial 16S-23S ribosomal RNA intergenic spacer
Rfam family: tRNA (bases 134-207)
Source: RNAcentral
AAAGGGAGACCUAAUUCGGGUAUAAGACGAAAAAAAAGUAGUCCCUACCAAGAAUCAAUCCCAAAAGGUCGGAGCGAGGCAUGAGGCUUUCAAACUAGGUUCUGGGUUCAUAAAAGACCUGAAUCAGGAACAAGGGCUAUUAGCUCAGGUGGUUAGAGCGCACCCCUGAUAAGGGUGAGGUCCCUGGUUCGAGUCCAGGAUGGCCCACCUGCACAGGUGGCAAAAACAAAAGAAGCGAGGAAUCAGCACCUUAUCUUACUUAUAUAGUAAGAGAGAAUGCUGGCUCUGAGUACAGAGUCCAGAGGAACCUUGAAAACUGCAUAGAGCUAGGUGAAAAAGCCAAAAAAGAAGACCGCAAG